UACGUAGGGUGCAAGCGUUGUCCGGAAUUAUUGGGCGUAAAGAGCUCGUAGGCGGUUUGUCGCGUCGGCUGUGAAAACCUGGGGCUCAACCCCGGGCCUGCAGCCGAUACGGGCAAACUAGAAUUCAGUAGGGGAGACUGGAAUUCCUGGUGUAGCGGUGAAAUGCGCAGAUAUCAGGAGGAACACCGGUGGCGAAGGCGGGUCUCUGGGCAGUAACUGACGCUGAGGAGCGAAAGCGUGGGGAGCGAACAGG
RNAcentral lists this ribosomal RNA (253 nucleotides) under uncultured bacterium. RNAcentral's name for it is "partial 16S ribosomal RNA". It matches the Rfam family "Bacterial small subunit ribosomal RNA", at positions 524 to 776 of the family's 1533-position model. The record is from RNAcentral.